CUCCGCUGCCUAUCCUUUAGUACAAGUCCGCGACAUGUGCGUGCUCUAGCCAAAGCCACGCCGUGUGUCAGGAUUGGAAGGAAAAGUUUGGCCUCAAGUCGUUUCACAUCAAGCGAGUCGCGGUCAAGUAUUCGGACGAGUUGGAAGGGAAGGCUUUGUGGUCUGGCUAUCAGCUGCUCCUCAGUAAACUAUUGGAAGAACUAGCCAGCACAGACACAUUUGAUGGCUUCUUCAUCAGCAACCAAGUCAUCUACAAGAAGAAACCAGAAAAAGUGAACAUGUUAAAGAAAAAAAUCAAACAAGUUAUCCCUUGGAGGGCACUCACGCUGAGGAAGAAGUGGGAUGAGUAUGCGAGACAAGCUUGAGGGAACAGAGGCAGAGUACAGAAACUGCAACCUAUAUAUGUAUAUGUGGACAGGUGAAAGUUACAGAGAAGAAUUACAGUCUGUCUUCACCUGGAUACACUGUAUGGGAAAACUAGGAUUUUGCCUGAUGGCUUUUUCUAUGCUUUUGACAAGUUUAUAAAAUAUAAUAGUAGUGAUAAAAUAAAUAAACAAAUAAAUUGAUAAAUAAAUAAAUACAUUACCUUUA
Penaeus vannamei (Pacific white shrimp) is the source of this 591-nucleotide non-coding RNA. The record is from RefSeq and is a predicted model, not a curated record. Lineage: Eukaryota; Metazoa; Arthropoda; Malacostraca; Decapoda; Penaeidae.